Molecule: non-coding RNA, 262 nt
Organism: Paramuricea clavata
Lineage: Eukaryota; Metazoa; Cnidaria; Anthozoa; Malacalcyonacea; Plexauridae
Source: the annotation of a GenBank genome assembly
AUUGAUAUCAUGUUUCUCGUCCCCGCCCGCAUGGGAUUUAUCUGCCGCACGAAAAUUUUUCAUUAUUCAUUAUUUUUGAAAAAUACGCUUAACAAAACACAAAAUUGAUCUCCAGAUCAAAGUCUUAUUGCUGCAUUCCGCAGACGCAACUCAAAUUGUAUCUUUCUAAAGAUAUUACUCGCCAGAAUGCCUCUAUUUUUCAUGUCAGCCCUGGUAUUUAUAAAUUAAAAUGAAUUAUACACCAAUUUACUACAGAUUUUUA